UACGUAGGGUGCAAGCGUUAAUCGGAAUUACUGGGCGUAAAGCGUGCGCAGGCGGUUUUGUAAGUCUGUCGUGAAAGCCCCGGGCUCAUCCUGGGAAUUGCGAUGGAGACUGCAAGGCUUGAAUCUGGCAGAGGGGGGUAGAAUUCCACGUGUAGCAGUGAAAUGCGUAGAGAUGUGGAGGAACACCGAUGGCGAAGGCAGCCCGCUGGGUCAAGAAUGACGCUCAUGCACGAAAGCGUGGGGAGCAAACAGG
Molecule: ribosomal RNA, 253 nt
Filed under: uncultured bacterium
Lineage: Bacteria
Description: partial 16S ribosomal RNA
Rfam family: Bacterial small subunit ribosomal RNA
Source: RNAcentral